UACAGAGGGUGCAAGCGUUAAUCGGAAUUACUGGGCGUAAAGCGCGCGUAGGCGGUUGUGUAAGUUGGAGGUGAAAUCCCCGGGCUUAACCUGGGCACUGCCUUCAAAACUGCACGGCUAGAGUAUGGGAGAGGAAGGUAGAAUUCCAGGUGUAGCGGUGAAAUGCGUAGAGAUCUGGAGGAAUACCGAUGGCGAAGGCAGCCUUCUGGCCUAAUACUGACGCUGAGGUGCGAAAGCAUGGGGAGCAAACAGGAUUAGAUACCCGUGUAGU
This 271-nucleotide ribosomal RNA is filed under the name uncultured bacterium. Its description in RNAcentral is "partial 16S ribosomal RNA". It matches the Rfam family "Bacterial small subunit ribosomal RNA", at positions 524 to 794 of the family's 1533-position model. The record is from RNAcentral.